This 451-nucleotide ribosomal RNA is filed under the name uncultured bacterium. Its description in RNAcentral is "bacterial SSU rRNA". It matches the Rfam family "Bacterial small subunit ribosomal RNA", at positions 28 to 507 of the family's 1533-position model. The record is from RNAcentral.
GACGAACGCUGGCGGCGUGCUUAACACAUGCAAGUCGAGCGAUGAAGCACCUUCGGGUGUGAAUUAGCGGCGGACGGGUGAGUAACACGUGAGAAUUUGCCUUUAGGAGGGGGACAACAAUCGGAAACGAAUGCUAAUACCCCAUAUGCUUUCGAGUGAAAUGGAUUUUAUCCGCCUAGAGAGAAGCUCGCGGCUGAUUAGCUUGUUGGUAAGGUAAGAGCUUACCAAGGCGACGAUCAGUAUCUGGUUUGAGAGGAUGAUCAGCCACACUGGGACUGAGACACGGCCCAGACUCCUACGGGAGGCAGCAGUGGGGAAUAUUGGGCAAUGGAGGAAACUCUGACCCAGCGACGCCGCGUGAGGGAUGAAGGCCUUCGGGUUGUAAACCUCUUUCAGUAGGGAAGAAGCGAAAGUGACGGUACCUACAGAAGAAGCACCGGCUAACUAUGUG